AGAGUUUGAUCCUGGCUCAGGAUGAACGCUGGCGGCGUGCCUAAUACAUGCAAGUCGAGCGAACGGACGAGAAGCUUGCUUCUCUGAUGUUAGCGGCGGACGGGUGAGUAACACGUGGAUAACCUACCUAUAAGACUGGGAUAACUUCGGGAAACCGGAGCUAAUACCGGAUAAUAUUUCGAACCGCAUGGUUCAAAAGUGAAAGACGGUCUUGCUGUCACUUAUAGAUGGAUCCGCGCUGCAUUAGCUAGUUGGUAAGGUAACGGCUUACCAAGGCAACGAUGCAUAGCCGACCUGAGAGGGUGAUCGGCCACAUUGGAACUGAGACACGGUCCAGACUCCUACGGGAGGCAGCAGUAGGGAAUCUUCCGCAAUGGGCGAAAGCCUGACGGAGCAACGCCGCGUGAGUGAUGAAGGUCUUAGGAUCGUAAAACUCUGUUAUUAGGGAAGAACAUAUGUGUAAGUAACUGUGCACAUCUUGACGGUACCUAAUCAGAAAGCCACGGCUAACUACGUGCCAGCAGCCGCGGUAAUACGUAGGUGGCAAGCGUUAUCCGGAAUUAUUGGGCGUAAAGCGCGCGUAGGCGGUUUUUUAAGUCUGAUGUGAAAGCCCACGGCUCAACCGUGGAGGGUCAUUGGAAACUGGAAAACUUGAGUGCAGAAGAGGAAAGUGGAAUUCCAUGUGUAGCGGUGAAAUGCGCAGAGAUAUGGAGGAACACCAGUGGCGAAGGCGACUUUCUGGUCUGUAACUGACGCUGAUGUGCGAAAGCGUGGGGAUCAAACAGGAUUAGAUACCCUGGUAGUCCACGCCGUAAACGAUGAGUGCUAAGUGUUAGGGGGUUUCCGCCCCUUAGUGCUGCAGCUAACGCAUUAAGCACUCCGCCUGGGGAGUACGACCGCAAGGUUGAAACUCAAAGGAAUUGACGGGGACCCGCACAAGCGGUGGAGCAUGUGGUUUAAUUCGAAGCAACGCGAAGAACCUUACCAAAUCUUGACAUCCUUUGACAACUCUAGAGAUAGAGCCUUCCCCUUCGGGGGACAAAGUGACAGGUGGUGCAUGGUUGUCGUCAGCUCGUGUCGUGAGAUGUUGGGUUAAGUCCCGCAACGAGCGCAACCCUUAAGCUUAGUUGCCAUCAUUAAGUUGGGCACUCUAAGUUGACUGCCGGUGACAAACCGGAGGAAGGUGGGGAUGACGUCAAAUCAUCAUGCCCCUUAUGAUUUGGGCUACACACGUGCUACAAUGGACAAUACAAAGGGCAGCGAAACCGCGAGGUCAAGCAAAUCCCAUAAAGUUGUUCUCAGUUCGGAUUGUAGUCUGCAACUCGACUACAUGAAGCUGGAAUCGCUAGUAAUCGUAGAUCAGCAUGCUACGGUGAAUACGUUCCCGGGUCUUGUACACACCGCCCGUCACACCACGAGAGUUUGUAACACCCGAAGCCGGUGGAGUAACCUUUUAGGAGCUAGCCGUCGAAGGUGGGACAAAUGAUUGGGGUGAAGUCGUAACAAGGUAGCCGUAUCGGAAGGUGCGGCUGGAUCACCU
RNAcentral lists this ribosomal RNA (1540 nucleotides) under Staphylococcus aureus. Its description in RNAcentral is "16S ribosomal RNA". It matches the Rfam family "Bacterial small subunit ribosomal RNA". Lineage: Bacteria; Bacillati; Bacillota; Bacilli; Caryophanales; Staphylococcaceae. The record is from RNAcentral.